UACCAGCACCCCGAGUGGUCGGGACGUUUAUUGGGCGUAAAGAGCGUGUAGGCGGCCACACAGGUCAGCUGUGAAAACUCGAGGCUCAACCUCGAGACGUCGGUUGAAACCGUAUGGCUAGAGUCCGGAAGAGGAGAGUGGAAUUCCCGGUGUAGCGGUGAAAUGCGCAGAUAUCGGGAAGAACACCCGUGGCGAAGGCGGCUCUCUGGGACGGUACUGACGCUGAGACGCGAAAGCGUGGGGAGCGAACAGG
Molecule: ribosomal RNA, 253 nt
Filed under: uncultured bacterium
Lineage: Bacteria
Description: partial 16S ribosomal RNA
Rfam family: Bacterial small subunit ribosomal RNA (bases 27-253)
Source: RNAcentral